RNAcentral lists this ribosomal RNA (364 nucleotides) under Helicobacter sp. 'BRA/UEL Cirrhosis Liver Dog3'. RNAcentral describes it as "bacterial SSU rRNA". It matches the Rfam family "Bacterial small subunit ribosomal RNA", at positions 284 to 665 of the family's 1533-position model. The record is from RNAcentral. Lineage: Bacteria; Pseudomonadati; Campylobacterota; Epsilonproteobacteria; Campylobacterales; Helicobacteraceae.
UAUCCGGCCUGAGAGGGUGAACGGACACACUGGAACUGAGACACGGUCCAGACUCCUACGGGAGGCAGCAGUAGGGAAUAUUGCUCAAUGGGCGCAAGCCUGAAGCAGCAACGCCGCGUGGAGGAUGAAGGUUUUAGGAUUGUAAACUCCUUUUGUGAGAGAAGAUAAUGACGGUAUCUCACGAAUAAGCACCGGCUAACUCCGUGCCAGCAGCCGCGGUAAUACGGAGGGUGCAAGCGUUACUCGGAAUCACUGGGCGUAAAGAGUGCGUAGGCGGGGUUGUAAGUCAGGUGUGAAAUCCUAUGGCUUAACCAUAGAACUGCAUUUGAAACUGCAACCCUAGAGUGUGGGAGAGGUAGGUGGA